AUGUACCCACGUACACUCCGGUUCCUCCGCGCCGUCCGCACCCGCCUGACGACUGCUCGCUACGUUUUGUUAGCC
Molecule: small RNA, 75 nt
Filed under: Xanthomonas campestris
Lineage: Bacteria; Pseudomonadati; Pseudomonadota; Gammaproteobacteria; Lysobacterales; Lysobacteraceae
Also listed under: 8 other names
Description: sRNA sX9
Rfam family: Xanthomonas sRNA sX9
Source: RNAcentral